CAGGGAGACAACAAAAUGUUUAAUAUUAAUUUUGUCACCUUAGGUCGAUCGGUAUCUCACAUUCUUAAUUUAUUAAGAAUUUUAUUUCCUAAGUUUUUUCUAGGUCACACCCAUUACUUUUCCUGGGCCAUUAGCUCAGGUGGUUAGAGCGCACCCCUGAUAAGGGUGAGGUCCCUGGUUCAAGUCCAGGAUGGCCCAUAUCUCUGUGUUGGGGGUAUAGCUCAGUUGGUAGAGCGCCUGCUUUGCAAGCAGGAUGUCAGCGGUUCGAGUCCGCUUACCUCCACUGAUCACCACCUCUUCCAUGAAUUUAUAGAAAGGAAUUGUUUUGAGUUGUGAUCAAAUUCUGAACGAAUCUAGCUUCCUAAUCAAACAUAUUAAGAUGCUGGACUCAUUGAAUUAAAUUCAUUGUUUUCAGAGAACCUUGACAACUGCAUAGAUUAUUUUUAAAGACAAUAAGCAUCUUUAAUGAUGCAGAUUUAUUAUUUGUGCGAAUGCAUUAAUAACAAUUCUAUUAAGCUGAUGCUUCAAUUUUUGAAGUUAUU
RNAcentral lists this transfer RNA (542 nucleotides) under uncultured Prochlorococcus sp. RNAcentral's name for it is "partial 16S-23S ribosomal RNA intergenic spacer". The stretch from base 211 to 283 matches the Rfam family "tRNA". The record is from RNAcentral. Lineage: Bacteria; Bacillati; Cyanobacteriota; Cyanophyceae; Synechococcales; Prochlorococcaceae.